This 483-nucleotide ribosomal RNA is filed under the name uncultured bacterium. RNAcentral describes it as "partial 16S ribosomal RNA". It matches the Rfam family "Bacterial small subunit ribosomal RNA", at positions 30 to 507 of the family's 1533-position model. The record is from RNAcentral.
UUGAACGCUGGCGGCAGGCCUAACACAUGCAAGUCGAGCGGAUGAAGGGAGCUUGCUCCUGGAUUCAGCGGCGGACGGGUGAGUAAUGCCUAGGAAUCUGCCUGGUAGUGGGGGAUAACGUCCGGAAACGGGCGCUAAUACCGCAUACGUCCUGAGGGAGAAAGUGGGGGAUCUUCGGACCUCACGCUAUCAGAUGAGCUUAGGUCGGAUUAGCUAGUUGGUGGGGUAAAGGCCUACCAAGGCGACGAUCCGUAACUGGUCUGAGAGGAUGAUCAGUCACACUGGAACUGAGACACGGUCCAGACUCCUACGGGAGGCAGCAGUGGGGAAUAUUGGACAAUGGGCGAAAGCCUGAUCCAGCCAUGCCGCGUGUGUGAAGAAGGUCUUCGGAUUGUAAAGCACUUUAAGUUGGGAGGAAGGGCAGUAAGUUAAUACCUUGCUGUUUUGACGUUACCAACAGAAUAAGCACCGGCUAACUUCGUG